RNAcentral lists this long non-coding RNA (408 nucleotides) under Homo sapiens (human). RNAcentral's name for it is "HSALNT0151340". The record is from RNAcentral. Lineage: Eukaryota; Metazoa; Chordata; Mammalia; Primates; Hominidae.
AUCGUUGCAAAGAGGGGCCGGAGGCGAAGGAGGCGGCGAGGCUGUGCGGCGGGUCGGAGCGACGCCGAGGUCUGACGUGUCCGCGUCCCUGCGGCCCCACUCCCGGCCGCCGUGACCUCCCCUUGCACGGGGCGGACACGAGCAAUGUCACGGGCCCCGCCGCGCGCCGCGAGCACUCACCAGGGUGAGGGCUGCCCGGGUGGGCUGCAGCUUCCUCUUGCUCACAGCCCGGACAGUUGCCCGGACUAAGGAAGCCGACAUCUUCGCCGUCCCGGCGCCCCGGUGCCUCGGGCCGAAGGUCGGCCGCCUCAGCUUCUCUCCAUGGACACGGCGGGCGCAUUGACGCCACAAGCUUCGGCGCACGGCGCCCUCAGUCCUAGCCCCGCCCCCCGCCGCCACCAUUGGGUG